GAGUAGGUGGAAAGGGGUGAAAGAGGAAGGGAGGAGAGAGGAAAAGGAGAGAUACGAGAGCAGGGGAGAGAGGAGGGUGGAGGGGGCAGGGGGAGGUAGGUAUAAAAACUUGGGCAGUUGGAUUAAAAUUGAUUCACUGUGAUAGGCAGAGAAAGAAAGGAAAGAGGUGAGAAGAACACAUCCGUGAAAACUAUAAAACAUCAGCUCUAUCCCUUUGGAUAGUAAGAUGAAGGUCUCUCUGCUGUGUGUGAUGCUGGGUGCUCUUGUCGCUCUGGGCCUGUGUUACGAUUCCUCUGAGAGUAAUGAAUCAUCUGAGGGUAAAUAGGUUUAUAGUGCUAUGAAUUUUGUAUGUUGUGAUGACUGAAUGAUUCUGGGGGUUUUUCUAUGAGACUGAUAACCCAGGAAAGGUGAUUGGUUGGCUGUACUGAGUGUGCGUAGAGUAAGCGUGUAGAAAUAGAUCAUGUACAGGCCAAGAAAGUUAAGGUCAUGAAGUUGAGUCCCUGGAACAUCAAAUAAAACAUUUUUUCUGAGGUUCAUUGCAAAAUCCAUUCAGAAAUUUUGCCAGAAAAAACAUAAAGUUUGUCUCCAGAUCCUAAAGAUAUACAUAUUAAAUUCAGUUUACAUGUGUUCAUUUGGUGGUUCUGCCCAAAAUGCUCAUUAGCGAAUGACACUAAAUGCAAAUAAUCAUGAUAACUACAACUGCCAGAAUAGAGCAGAGACCUAACACCAACUGCAAAGCUUCAAUAAUAGAAUCAAAGGAAACCACUGAUUUUGACAUCCCCGGCCGCACUUUAAAUUUGUUCAUUAAAUUUUCAUAGAAUAAAGCUUUGCUUUUUAAAUGGUAAACUACACCAUAGCCCUAAAUAAU
Molecule: long non-coding RNA, 868 nt
Organism: Anguilla rostrata (American eel)
Lineage: Eukaryota; Metazoa; Chordata; Actinopteri; Anguilliformes; Anguillidae
Exons: 3
Source: RefSeq, a predicted model, not a curated record